GGCAACGGCCAUACCACGUUGAAAGCACUGGUUCUCGUCCGAUCACCGAAGUUAAGCAACGUUGGGCGCGGUCAGUACUUGGAAGGGUGACCGCUUGGGAACACCGCGUGCCGUUGGCA
RNAcentral lists this ribosomal RNA (119 nucleotides) under Neodiprion pinetum (white pine sawfly). Lineage: Eukaryota; Metazoa; Arthropoda; Insecta; Hymenoptera; Diprionidae. The record is from RNAcentral.